RNAcentral lists this ribosomal RNA (253 nucleotides) under uncultured bacterium. RNAcentral describes it as "partial 16S ribosomal RNA". It matches the Rfam family "Bacterial small subunit ribosomal RNA", at positions 524 to 776 of the family's 1533-position model. The record is from RNAcentral.
UACGGAGGGCGCGAGCGUUGUUCGGAAUCACUGGGCGUAAAGCGCGUGUAGGCGGCCGGGCAAGUCGGAUGUGAAAUCCCGAGGCUCAACCUCGGAACGGCAUUCGAAACUGCUCGGCUCGAGUCCCGGAGAGGAUGGCGGAAUUCCCGGUGUAGGGGUGAAAUCCGUAGAUAUCGGGAGGAACACCAGUGGCGAAGGCGGCGAUCUGGGAAGAUACUGACGCUGAGGUGCGAAAGCGUGGGGAGCAAACAGG